This 61-nucleotide transfer RNA is filed under the name Heterosigma akashiwo. The record is from RNAcentral. Lineage: Eukaryota; Raphidophyceae; Chattonellales; Chattonellaceae.
GUUCAAUCGUUCGAAAGUUCGACUUCGAAGCACAAGGUCUGCGGUUCGAAUCCCGUCAUGU